GAGUUGAGUAGUGACAUGACAAUGCUGUGGUAACAAUGGUUUCACUCUGACUGCCUUACUGAAGAUGCAUAAAGGGGAUCUCUGGUGGAAUUGGGAGACCAGUUAGGAGACUACUGCAAUCAUUCAAGAGAAAGAUGAUGGAGACUGGGAAUAAAAUUGCAGCAAUGGAGAAGUCAUCUUUUCUAAAACUCUUCUAGUGGCAGCUCUAAAUAUCAGUUGGACUGGUACUGAAGAAAAAACAGGACAAAAAGGCCAGAAGGUCUCGCCCCACAGCAAAUUAGAAGUUAAUUUGCAUGAGAGCAAGAGCCUUUGCUGUCCUGUUUUACAUCGUUGAUGCCUAAAUGAAAAGAAUGAAAGAAGAUGGAGAGAUCUGAGUACAACCAUCAAGUGAAGGCGUAACCAAGGGAGGCUUGAGCAUACACGUAGACAGAGGGGAGGAAUCUUGUGGAAUAGAAGAGGAUAGAGACACAGAAGAGAGGAUUCAUUGGUGAAAUGAAGCCUCAUGCAUGUUAAUGGGGUUACUGAAGUCAGUAGCACCUUGGGAUCUACAUCUCCAUGCUGUGGAAGGAGGGGAAUGGCUGCCUCCUAGAUGGGAACCACUGGAUUAAGUUAAUAUCAGGCUGCUCCAGAAGCAACGAAGUGACUUUGAGUAAAAGUAUCUUUCUGUGCUCUCAA
Molecule: long non-coding RNA, 675 nt
Filed under: Homo sapiens (human)
Lineage: Eukaryota; Metazoa; Chordata; Mammalia; Primates; Hominidae
Description: HSALNT0333249
Source: RNAcentral